RNAcentral lists this ribosomal RNA (480 nucleotides) under uncultured bacterium. RNAcentral describes it as "partial 16S ribosomal RNA". It matches the Rfam family "Bacterial small subunit ribosomal RNA", at positions 29 to 507 of the family's 1533-position model. The record is from RNAcentral.
AUGAACGCUGGCGGCGUGCCUAACACAUGCAAGUCGAACGGAGAUUACGGACGAAAGUUUUCGGAUGGAAGACUGUAAUUCUUAGUGGCGGACGGGUGAGUAACGCGUGGGCAACCUGCCCUAUACAGGGGGAUAGCAGCUGGAAACGGCUGGUAAGACCGCAUAAGUCGGUUAAAUCGCAUGAUUUGAUCGGGAAAUGAGCAAUCAGGUAUAGGAUGGGCCCGCGUCCGAUUAGCCAGUUGGCAGGGUAAAAGCCUACCAAAGCGACGAUCGGUAGCCGGACUGAGAGGUCGGACGGCCACAUUGGGACUGAGACACGGCCCAAACUCCUACGGGAGGCAGCAGUGGGGGAUAUUGCACAAUGGAGGAAACUCUGAUGCAGCGACGCCGCGUGAGUGAAGAAGUAUUUCGGUAUGUAAAGCUCUAUCAGCAGGGAAGAUGAUGACGGUACCUGACUAAGAAGCCCCGGCUAACUACGUG